This 468-nucleotide ribosomal RNA is filed under the name uncultured bacterium. RNAcentral describes it as "partial 16S ribosomal RNA". It matches the Rfam family "Bacterial small subunit ribosomal RNA", at positions 28 to 507 of the family's 1533-position model. The record is from RNAcentral.
GACGAACGCUGGCGGCGUGCUUAACACAUGCAAGUCGAACGGAAAGGCCCUGCUUUUGUGGGGUGCUCGAGUGGCGAACGGGUGAGUAACACGAGAGUAACCUGCCCUUGACUUUGGGAUAACUUCAGGAAACUGGGGCUAAUACCGGAUAGGAGCUCCUGCUGCAUGGUGGGGGUUGGAAAGUUUCGGCGGUUGGGGAUGGACUCGCGGCUUAUCAGCUUGUUGGUGGGGUAGUGGCUUACCAAGGCUUUGACGGGUAGCCGGCCUGAGAGGGUGACCGGCCACAUUGGGACUGAGAGACGGACCAGACUCCUACGGGAGGCAGCAGUGGGGAAUAUUGCACAAUGGGCGGAAGCCUGAUGCAGCAACGCCGCGUGCGGGAUGACGGCCUUCGGGUUGUAAACCGCUUUCGCAUGUGACGAAGCGUGAGUGACGGUAAUGGGUAAAGAAGCACCGGCUAACUACGUG